GUUUGUGUUUUUCGUAACAGGGUGAUUUUCUACUUUGUUUUAAAGAACCUGAUUGAGAAGCAAUCUGCUCAUAGCACCCCAAAAUUGAAAGUUAUUCUUAUGUCUAGUUCCAGCUCAUAAAUAGUGCUUAUUCUAUAUGUUUGUUCAUAAUUGCAAAGUUUGUUUUGCUCUUGUGUGUUUAUCUAUAUCUCCAAUGUUCAGGUCAGUAACUGUUGAUUCAGAUCUGUUUCAAGAUACUUCAGUCGCUGCGUAGUAAUUACUGCUCAAGGCCGAACACAUCCUGUCUCAACACACUUUCUCAGGAUAUAUAUGAAAGUAUUAACUAUCGUCUUGCUUCAGAUUCUCUAGCUUAUCUAAGAGAUGAUACAUCUACAAAGAAGAAUGAUCCUGUUAGCAACCACAAGGGGAAGAAAAAUCUAGUUUUAUCUGGAUGGGGAGAUGAAUCAAUUCUGUCUGAAGAUUUCAUAAACCCAUACUAUAUUCCGAGUACUUAUCAAACAUAUAGUGAUCAAACUUGAAAGAAUUCGAGAAGGUUGAAUGAAGAUGUUAUUGAUUAUGAUCUUCUUGAAGAUCUGGUGCAUUACAUUGAUGAAACACACCCAGAGGGCGCCAUACUGGUUUUCUUACCAAGAGUUUCAGAGAUCCACACAUUAUUUGAUAAACUAGCUGCUUCUUACCAAUUUGGUGGAAGGUCUUCUGAGUGGCUUCUUCCUUUACAUUCCUCAGUAGCGUCAGCUGAUCAGAAAAAGGUGUUUCUACGACCUCCCGAUAAUAU
Non-coding RNA from Camellia sinensis, 775 nucleotides. The record is from RefSeq and is a predicted model, not a curated record. NCBI's taxonomy places the organism in Eukaryota, Viridiplantae, Streptophyta, Magnoliopsida, Ericales, Theaceae.